UUGCCCAUCGAGGCCUGUCUCCUGCCUUAGCCUCUGUAAGUCCUCCAUCUCUUGGAUGGAAAGCUGUUGGCCCAGAUGUUGGGCAUGAGGCCUGUCCCUGGCUCUCUGGAGAGAGCAAAUGAAGCAGAUGCAAGGAUGACCCCCUCCUGGGCCCCGCUGACCACAUGGGUGCUGCCCCGGAACAUGGGGGUCAGCCCAGUUCUGAAGGUGAGACGGGGGCCCAGCCUGUCAGCACAGUGCAGCUGGUUUUCAGCAGCCUUACACCCUUCUCAGGAAGGGCUGGUGCCCCCGUGCCCAUCUCCUCUGUUCCCUGUAGGUCAGCUAGCAAAUCAUCCAAAAGGACCCAGCACCAGCCAGAGGCAGGCCAGCCCAGAAACGCAUGGGCCAGUCUCUGCUCUUUCUGUUCCCACUGUGAACUUCCAGAAGUUCCUUCAGACAGUAUAUUUUCCCUCUUUCCCAACCACUUUUCACUGGGUAUCCACAAAGAAGUUAAAACUGUGCCUUGGACCUCCUACCAGGGUGCCCGCCCAGAACAGUGGGGGCAGUGCUUCCUGUUGCAGCCCCCACCCAGCCGGGCACAGGCCCAGUGUCCCUGUGGGACUCCAUCCAGGACUUGCUGAAAUGGCCAAUGAUACAAAGGAGCCCCGACUUCACCCAUGGCCAGCUUCCCUCGCCAUCCUCCCUGCGGCCAAAGGACUUGCCCUCACCUGUUCUUUCCAGGACAAAUCCUCUGCCAGGUUCCGCCUCAGGACACCCAAGUUCAGCACAGACAGCCUAGCAGCCUGGGUGACAGGAUCCCGGCGGACAGGAUUCUCUCCUUGCCAGAGAGAUGAGGACAAAUUCUCCCUUCAUCCUUGAGAUUGGACUCCCGUCACACAUCCUGGAGGAGCCUACAGAGAAGCCAGCAGGUCUCCCUCACCUGGACGGUGGCAGCCGGUGGCCCGGACCACCCAGAGGCCCUCCCCUGCACCUGAUGGGACAGCCCCUGGGACAUAAGUCUCCCCUGCCACUUCCACUGUGGCCACUAGAACUGUGGUGGAGAAAAUCGCUAGGACACAAAGAAGUCAAUGAUUUCAACAAACGGAAUUUCUUUGUCCUUUGUAAAAGUCAACACAUGAUCUGUUACUGAUUGGGGAUGUGAAAUAAAACUAAAAAUAACAGCACACUGAGCCUGGUUCAGAGCUCAGCUCACCUUUA
Chlorocebus sabaeus (green monkey) is the source of this 1197-nucleotide long non-coding RNA. RefSeq lists it as uncharacterized. NCBI's taxonomy places the organism in Eukaryota, Metazoa, Chordata, Mammalia, Primates, Cercopithecidae. The record is from RefSeq and is a predicted model, not a curated record.